UGUGUGAAGAAGGUCUUCGGAUUGUAAAGCACUUUAAGUUGGGAGGAAGGGCAGUAAGUUAAUACCUUGCUGUUUUGACGUUACCAACAGAAUAAGCACCGGCUAACUUCGUGCCAGCAGCCGCGGUAAUACGAAGGGUGCAAGCGUUAAUCGGAAUUACUGGGCGUAAAGCGCGCGUAG
This 180-nucleotide ribosomal RNA is filed under the name uncultured bacterium. RNAcentral describes it as "partial 16S ribosomal RNA". It matches the Rfam family "Bacterial small subunit ribosomal RNA", at positions 401 to 574 of the family's 1533-position model. The record is from RNAcentral.